This 339-nucleotide ribosomal RNA is filed under the name uncultured bacterium. RNAcentral describes it as "bacterial SSU rRNA". It matches the Rfam family "Bacterial small subunit ribosomal RNA", at positions 30 to 376 of the family's 1533-position model. The record is from RNAcentral.
AUUGAACGCUGGCGGAAUGCUUAACACAUGCAAGUCGAGCGGGCUGUAGCAAUACAGCUAGCGGCGGACGGGUGAGGAAUACAUAGGAAUCUGCCUCAGAGUGGGGGAUAGCCCGGGGAAACCCGGAUUAAUACCGCAUGAUGUCGUAAGACCAAAGCAGGGGACCGUAAGGCCUUGCGCUUUGAGAUGAGCCUAUGUCGGAUUAGCUAGUUGGCGGGGUAAAAGCCCACCAAGGCGACGAUCCGUAGCUGGUCUGAGAGGACGAUCAGCCACACCGGAACUGAGACACGGGUCCGGACUCCUACGGGAGGCAGCAGUGGGGAAUAUUGGACAAUGGGC